Molecule: ribosomal RNA, 315 nt
Filed under: uncultured bacterium
Lineage: Bacteria
Description: bacterial SSU rRNA
Rfam family: Bacterial small subunit ribosomal RNA
Source: RNAcentral
GAUGAACGCUAGCGACAGGCUUAACACAUGCAAGUCGAGGGGCAGCGGGGAGGUAGCAAUACUUCCGCCGGCGACCGGCGCACGGGUGAGUAACACGUAUGGAACCUGCCCGUAGCAGGGGGAUAAGCGGAAGAAAUUCCGUCUAAUACCGCGUAAUAACUCCGAGAGGCAUCUCCUGGGGUUUAAAGGGUAACACCGGCUACGGAUGGCCAUGCGGCGCAUUAGCUAGUUGGCGGGGUAACGGCCCACCAAGGCGACGAUCAGUAGCCGGCCUGAGAGGGUGAACGGCCACAUUGGGACUGAGACACGGCCCAA